UCUUGGUCCAAUUAGAGGAAGUAAAAGUCGUAACAAGGUCUCCGUUGGUGAACCAGCGGAGGGAUCAUUACUGAGUUUACGCUCUACAACCCUUUGUGAACAUACCUAUAACUGUUGCUUCGGCGGGUAGGGUCUCCGCGACCCUCCCGGCCUCCCGCCUCCGGGCGGGUCGGCGCCCGCCGGAGGAUAACCAAACUCUGAUUUAACGACGUUUCUUCUGAGUGGUACAAGCAAAUAAUCAAAACUUUUAACAACGGAUCUCUUGGUUCUGGCAUCGAUGAAGAACGCAGCGAAAUGCGAUAAGUAAUGUGAAUUGCAGAAUUCAGUGAAUCAUCGAAUCUUUGAACGCACAUUGCGCCCGCCAGCAUUCUGGCGGGCAUGCCUGUUCGAGCGUCAUUUCAACCCUCAAGCUCUGCUUGGUGUUGGGGCCCUACAGCUGAUGUAGGCCCUCAAAGGUAGUGGCGGACCCUCCCGGAGCCUCCUUUGCGUAGUAACUUUACGUCUCGCACUGGGAUCCGGAGGGACUCUUGCCGUAAAACCCCCAAUUUUCCAAAGGUUGACCUCGGAUCAGGUAGGAAUACCCGCUGAACUUAAGCAUAUCAAUA
Molecule: ribosomal RNA, 605 nt
Filed under: Colletotrichum gloeosporioides
Lineage: Eukaryota; Fungi; Ascomycota; Sordariomycetes; Glomerellales; Glomerellaceae
Description: eukaryotic LSU rRNA
Rfam family: 5.8S ribosomal RNA (bases 243-396)
Source: RNAcentral